RNAcentral lists this ribosomal RNA (459 nucleotides) under uncultured bacterium. RNAcentral's name for it is "SSU rRNA". It matches the Rfam family "Bacterial small subunit ribosomal RNA", at positions 26 to 523 of the family's 1533-position model. The record is from RNAcentral.
AGGAUGAACGCUGGCGGCGUGCCUAAUACAUGCAAGUCGAGCGGUAAGGCCCCUUCGGGGGUACACGAGCGGCGGACGGCUGAGUAACACGUAGGAACGUACCCCAAACUGAGGGAUAAGCACCAGAAAUGGUGUCUAAUACCGCAUGUGCUCUUCGGAGUAAAGCUUCGGCGGUUUGGGAGCGGCCUGCGCAUGAUUAGCUUGUUGGUGAGGUAAAAGCUCACCAAGGCGACGAUCAUUAGCUGGUCUGAGAGGAUGAUCAGCCAGACUGGGACUGAGAACGGCCCAGACUCCUACGGGAGCAGCAGUAGGGAAUUUUCCACAAUGGGCGAAAGCCUGAUGGAGCAACGCCGCGUGCAGGAUGAAGGCCUUCGGUUGUAAACUGCUUUUAUCUGUGAGAUUAUGACGGUAGCAGAUGAAUAAGGAUCGGCUAACUCCGACGCCAGCAGGCCGCGGUAA